GAUGAAAGAACGCAGCGAAAUGCGAUAAGUAAUGUGAAUUGCAGAAUUCAGUGAAUCAUCGAAUCUUUGAACGCACAUUGCGCCCGCCAGUAUUCUGGCGGGCAUGCCUGUCUGAGCGUCAUUUCAACCCUCAUGCCCCUAGGGCGUGGUGUUGGGGAUCGGCCAAAGCCCGCGAGGGACGGCCGGCCCCUAAAUCUAGUGGCGGACCCGUCGUGGCCUCCUCUGCGAAGUAGUGAUAUUCCGCAUCGGAGAGCGAUGAGCCCCUGCCGUUAAACCCCCAACUUUCCAAGGUUGACCUCAGAUCAGGUAGGAAUACCCGCUGAACUUAAGCAUAUCAAUAAGCGGAGGA
Molecule: unclassified non-coding RNA, 349 nt
Filed under: soil metagenome
Description: partial contains 5.8S ribosomal RNA, internal transcribed spacer 2, and large subunit ribosomal RNA
Rfam family: 5.8S ribosomal RNA (bases 6-121)
Source: RNAcentral